CACAUGAAGUACCUCAGGUUGUCACACUGCACCAAAUCCAAAGAUCCAAGCGCUCUGUCGUGACAUUCAGAGAGUAUAGUAGACACAGAUGAACCGAUUGGUAUUAGGACUUUUCUUUCACUGUUUUUCUUUCAGUGCAUUGUUCUGCUCUCAUUGCAAACAGAAUACCAGCCUGGACUUCAGAACCAACAAAAGCACGGGUCAGGAGGCCGGCUCCACAACCUGAUCAGCAAACACCUCAAAGAAGACAGCAUGGGGAUGAAGAUGUGUGCUAUGCUGCACUGGAAAUCCAACAGACAUCACACAGACCAAAGAAG
Molecule: long non-coding RNA, 317 nt
Organism: Gasterosteus aculeatus aculeatus (three-spined stickleback)
Lineage: Eukaryota; Metazoa; Chordata; Actinopteri; Perciformes; Gasterosteidae
Source: Ensembl